Molecule: ribosomal RNA, 252 nt
Filed under: uncultured bacterium
Lineage: Bacteria
Description: partial 16S ribosomal RNA
Rfam family: Bacterial small subunit ribosomal RNA
Source: RNAcentral
UACGGAGGAUGCGAGCGUUAUCCGGAUUUAUUGGGUUUAAAGGGUGCGUAGGCGGGCUUUUAAGUCAGCGGUAAAAAUUCGGGGCUCAACCCCGUCCGGCCGUUGAAGCUGGGGGCCUUGAGUGGGCGAGAAGAAGGCGGAAUGCGUGGUGUAGCGGUGAAAUGCAUAGAUAUCACGCAGAACCCCGAUUGCGAAGGCAGCCUUCCGGCGCCCUACUAACGCUGAGGCACGAAAGUGCGGGGAUCGAACAGG